Molecule: long non-coding RNA, 3268 nt
Organism: Pseudopipra pipra
Lineage: Eukaryota; Metazoa; Chordata; Aves; Passeriformes; Pipridae
Exons: 3
Source: RefSeq, a predicted model, not a curated record
GAGCUGUUGAAAGACAAGAAGUGUUAUAUUUGUCUAAGAAGAUAAGGAAACUAAAUUUACUGGAAGUUUCAGAAUUGCAUCCACUUGUGAAGCAUCAAGGAACAGAGUGAGUUAAACACUCAAAAAGCAGUUAUGACUCUGGAAGUAAUGGGGUUUUGUGAAUGGUUCUUGCUCUUAAUGACGAAAAGUUACAGAGGAGUGUGUCAGAAAUUUUGCAGUGCAAAAUGCGCAGAUUCAGUAAGAGUAAAGCUUCUUGCAGGGCAAAAAGCCCAGAAAUGCAAAAAAAAAAAAAAAAAAAAUUAAUACACCAAAGGGAGAACAAGCCACCUAGCAAACAUGCUACAGCAAUAUGAGUGCAAGAUUAGAUACAAAGAUGAAAAUUAAACUGUCAUAUUUGACCUAGCAAGACUAAACUUUUCAUUUUAAUAGUGUUUUCAAAAAUAUAUUAACACUAAAGAAAGGCAUAAAUCUUUGUCUAAUGUGAUCAUCAUAUAAACAAAUUGUGUUUUCCAGUUAUGGAGACGUAAGCCAGAUGUCUUUUUUCCCCUCUUCAAAAGGGUAUGCAAGAGGACUCAAACUUAAAAUGAAGACUUAAUGCUAAGAAUUAUCAGCUGCCAGCAUGUACACAACAUGACAGAAACUAUUUUUUAUUGCUUCUUUGCUCCUGUGUCCUGCCUUUUCUCUAGUAACAUUCAAGGGCUGGUAUUGCCUUGAAAUGACCUCACUACCUACCAGUUACCAAGAGAGAAGCCAGCAUUCCAAGAGCUGCAGAGUCUUGGCAUGGAGAGAAUUACCUAUUGCCAAAAGGAAUGCAUUGACUCCGUAUUUUCACCGCAGCAUAUUUAAGGGGGGAAGGAGGAAAGCAGUCAAUGAAAUAAAGCUUUGCCUUCAGACAGUCUUUGUAACAUGAUGUGUGAAUAAACAUCUCUGCUCACCUCAAUGUAUGGACUUUUAUACUAGCAUAAAACUGAUUGCACUAGCAAGGCUUAUUUCCAUAGUGAGAAGGAAGAAAGAUGGGGGAACAGCUGUGCAUAAAGAUCCUGACCCUCAGUAAGGAAGCUCAGUAAUCCUAUCACCAGUCAGUGAAUAUCACAAUAAAGAAGGUAGGAGAAGAACAAUUAGAAUCCUAAUAACAUUAGUUAAUCCUUUUCUAAACUUAAUAGCAUAUAAUAAUUGCCAUCACCUUUCCUACCCUUCAGUUAGUGCAAACUUCACAGUAUUUUAAGAACUAUAAAAGAAGUUCAUCAUGUGUUUCAACAUCGUGCUGAAAAUAUGACUAGGGGGUCUAUUCAGUUCAGUCUUAAUAACUAACUAAAACUGUCAUUUUCAACAAACAGCAAAGAGGAAUUAAAGUGUUUAUAAACACAGUAAAAUGCUGCCUGUGCAUAUUAAGAAUAAAAGCCUUAUUCCUUCUACCAACUAGAAUCUAAUAUAAAACAGCAUGUGGCAAUAUGCAAUUCUGAUUCAACUUCUGGCAUAAGGUCUUCCAAUAAACUUUUUUUAAGGUAUACCCAUCCACAGCCAAUAAAGGACAGUAAGACUUUUAAAAAUGAGCACAGUUCCUAGAAAUUACUGAGGCAGACCAGUGGCCAGAGUGUUUCAGUCCUCAAGUAUUCCACUAUACCAUUUUUUACUGAAUCAGUGUUUUUGUUUUACCACACAAAAUGAAGAACAGCUUCUUCCUUCUUAUUUUGAAUUUGUUUUGCCCUAAUUCACUCAGAUUUAAAUAUGCUACCACACAUGGCACUUUCUUCCCCCAUCAUUAUUCACACUUCUUGCAAGUCAGAGAUGUGGGAUGAUAUGGAAAGAAUUUUAAAUACAUAUAUAUCAAAUUCCUUCCUUCUCAAUGGAGACUCCAUGAAACAGACACUCAAUAACUAAACAUUUCUGUGCACCGAACCACAGUGCAAAAAACUUAGGCAGUACACUUUGAACAAUGCUGAGGAAACAUGCAGUUUGAGAUAAGCAUGUGGAUAAGCACACUUAUCCACACCAUUUGCUGCUCUUGAAGUACUCUGUAUGCUGUGGCAGUACCUGUCACAAAUGGUGUGCACUGAAAUACAAGUGGUUACUUUUACUUCUGAUCAGCCGAACUAGAAUAGUUAGUUUCCUCAAAACUUACUCUUCCUCCUUUUGCUCUGAACAUGCCAAGCAGUUGGAUCUUGGCAAGCAGACUGUCACUUUAUUGAUAGUUUGAACAACCUACAGCUCUUUGAGAAAGUAUUGUAUUUAUCUCUGCUUAAAGAUUUAAAAUCCAUGUGCUCACAGUGCCACUAAGUACAAAAGCGUCACACAAUCCACUAGAAAGCAGGCAGCUCCUACAUGGAAGCCAUCCUACAAAUUCUACAGCUUUGCACAAUCUAUGUGGUGCAGAACCCAAGUACAGAGACUUCCCAUCACUAACACUUUAGACAAUUCCUAUUCCUUGGGGAGCACGACACAAGUAUUACUGUAUCUUCCAGGGUUUUAAUGUGAAAUAUUUACUGACUUUCAUAUAAAAAAGUACUUUCUGCAUAAUGGCAUGGAGAAUCAGAUGUAAAUGAACAUUCUAAUUGUUAUAACUGUUAUUUCAUUCACUCAAUCUCUUUUCAAGAAUAAUUUGGCUUGUUCACUGCAUUGCACCUAAAACUUUAAAUGUCAAAUGUUUUCAUGUUUUACAGCUGUACUUCUAAACAUAUUAUACGUCUUCCCUCUUCUGUGUAAGCAAGUGUGUUCAAUUUGCCUAUAUAACCGUAAGAGGAAUAAUCUUUUCAGAAACUUACUGGAUUCCUAGCUCAUUUUUGAAUGCCAGCAACCAUAGCAAGUUCAGUAUUGCAGCCACAGCACAUGUGCAAGUAAAUUAUGAACCGCAAAUCCUUGACAAGGAGAAAAGUAGUGACUUCGGGUGGCAAGCCAGCGUCCUUGCAAAGGUCGUUUUGAUUAUUCUUCCUAUCACAGAAACAGCACAGCUGGAGAGCUACUGUCCAACUGCUCUGAAUACAGUUUGAUAAGCCUGAGUAACAGAGCUGGGUUGAUGACAUACUUUGGACAGACGACUGCAGAUGCUGUGACAGGAUGAGUGGCCAACCUGAUUCUGCAGAGGGAUGCAGGGAAGAAGUAUAUUAACCAUGCACAAGCACUAAAGAUGAAAACAAAACUAAAUCUUCAUCAGCUGAAUAUUCCUACAAGUGUACUUUCGGCACGUAGCAAUUUGCACUGCAGUUGGGUACACUGCUGAACCCUGUCAACCAAAUUUCCCUUCAAGCAUUCUAGCCAAAAAAAAAGAAAA